ACGAACGCUGGCGGCAUGCCUAACACAUGCAAGUCGAACGGAGAUUAUUUCGGUAAUCUUAGUGGCGAACGGGUGAGUAACGCGUGGGCAACCUGCCCUCUAGAUGGGGACAACAUCCCGAAAGGGGUGCUAAUACCGAAUGUGACAGCAAUCUCGCAUGAGGAUGCUGUGAAAGAUGGCCUCUAUUUAUAAGCUAUCGCUAGAGGAUGGGCCUGCGUCUGAUUAGCUAGUUGGUGGGGUAACGGCCUACCAAGGCGAUGAUCAGUAGCCGGUCUGAGAGGAUGAACGGCCACAUUGGGACUGAGACACGGCCCAGACUCCUACGGGAGGCAGCAGUGGGGAAUCUUCCGCAAUGGGCGAAAGCCUGACGGAGCAAUGCCGCGUGAGUGAUGAAGGAAUUCGUUCCGUAAAGCUCUUUUGUUUAUGACGAAUGUGCAGAUUGUGAACAAUGAUCUGUAAUGACGGUAGUAAACGAAUAAGCCACGGCUAACUACGUG
RNAcentral lists this ribosomal RNA (497 nucleotides) under uncultured bacterium. Its description in RNAcentral is "partial 16S ribosomal RNA". It matches the Rfam family "Bacterial small subunit ribosomal RNA", at positions 29 to 507 of the family's 1533-position model. The record is from RNAcentral.